CGGGUAGAUCUCCCACCCUUGAAUACUUAUACCUUUGUUGCUUUGGCGGGCCGCUUCGGCUACCGGCUUCGGCUGGUGAGUGCCCGCCAGAGGACCCAAAACUCUGAAUUAUAGUGUCGUCUGAGUACUAUAUAAUAGUUAAAACUUUCAACAACGGAUCUCUUGGUUCUGGCAUCGAUGAAGAACGCAGCGAAAUGCGAUAAGUAAUGUGAAUUGCAGAAUUCAGUGAAUCAUCGAAUCUUUGAACGCACAUUGCGCCCCUUGGUAUUCCGAGGGGCAUGCCUGUUCGAGCGUCAUUAUAACCCCUCAAGCUCAGCUUGGUGCUGGGGCCUGCUGCACUGGCAGCCCUUAAAAUCAGUGGCGGCGCCAUCUGGCUCUAAGCGUAGUAAUUCUUCUCGCUAUGGAGUCCUGGUGGAUGCUUGCCAUCAACCCCCAAUUUUUCUAUGGUUGACCUCGGAUCAGG
This 463-nucleotide ribosomal RNA is filed under the name Helotiales sp. H29. Its description in RNAcentral is "eukaryotic LSU rRNA". The stretch from base 143 to 296 matches the Rfam family "5.8S ribosomal RNA". The record is from RNAcentral. Lineage: Eukaryota; Fungi; Ascomycota; Leotiomycetes; Helotiales.